GAUGAACGCUGGCGGCGUGCUUAACACAUGCAAGUCGAACGGGAAACCUUUUAUUGAAGCUUCGGCAGUUUUAGCUGGUUUCUAGUGGCGGACGGGUGAGUAACGCGUGGGUAACCUGCCCUAUACAGGGGGAUAACAACCAGAAAUGGUUGCUAAUACCGCAUAAGCGCACAGGGCCGCAUGGUCCGGUGUGAAAACCUCCGGUGGUAUAGGAUGGACCCGCGUUGGAUUAGCCAGUUGGCAGGGUAACGGCCUACCAAAGCGACGAUCCAUAGCCGGCCUGAGAGGGUGAACGGCCACAUUGGGACUGAGACACGGCCCAGACUCCUACGGGAGGCAGCAGUGGGGAAUAUUGCACAAUGGGGGAAACCCUGAUGCAGCGACGCCGCGUGAAGGAAGAAGUAUCUCGGUAUGUAAACUUCUAUCAGCAGGGAAGAUAGUGACGGUACCUGACUAAGAAGCCCCGGCUAACUACGUG
RNAcentral lists this ribosomal RNA (478 nucleotides) under uncultured bacterium. RNAcentral's name for it is "partial 16S ribosomal RNA". It matches the Rfam family "Bacterial small subunit ribosomal RNA", at positions 28 to 507 of the family's 1533-position model. The record is from RNAcentral.